GACGAACGCUGGCGGCGUGCUUAACACAUGCAAGUCGAACGGAAAGGCCCCUUUGGGGGUACUCGAGUGGCGAACGGGUGAGUAACACGUGAGUAACCUGCCCUUGACUUCGGGAUAACUUCAGGAAACUGGGGCUAAUACCGGAUAGGAAUCCUUGCUGCAUGGUGGGGGUUGGAAAGCUUCGGCGGUUUUGGAUGGACUCGCGGCUUAUCAGCUUGUUGGUGGGGUAGUGGCUUACCAAGGCUUUGACGGGUAGCCGGCCUGGGAGGGCGACCGGCCACAUUGGGACUGAGAUACGGCCCAGACGCCGACGGGAGGCAGCAGUGGGGAAUAUUGCACAAUGGGCGGAAGCCUGAUGCAGCAACGCCGCGUGCGGGAUGACGGCCUUCGGGUUGUAAACCGCUUUCAGCAGGGGCGAAGCUUGUGGUGACGGUACCUGCAGAAGAAGCACCGGCUAACUACGUG
This 465-nucleotide ribosomal RNA is filed under the name uncultured bacterium. RNAcentral describes it as "partial 16S ribosomal RNA". It matches the Rfam family "Bacterial small subunit ribosomal RNA", at positions 28 to 507 of the family's 1533-position model. The record is from RNAcentral.